GCUGCAUGGCUGUCGUCAGCUCGUGUCGUGAGAUGUUCGGUUAAGUCCGCUAACGAGCGCAACCCUCGCUGUGUGUUACAAGUGUCACACGGGAACUGCCGGGUCAUAAACCGGAGGAAGGUGGGGAUGACGUCAAGUCAGCAUGGCCUUUAUAUCCUGGGCUACACACACGCUACAAUGGGAAGGGACAAUAGGUUGCGAAGCCGCGAGGCGGAGCCAAUCCAGCAAACUUCCCUCAGUUCAGAUUGCAGGCUGCAACCCGCCUGCAUGAAGUUGGAGUUGCUAGUAAACGCAGGUCAGCCAUACUGCGUUGAAUACGUUCCCGGGGCUU
RNAcentral lists this ribosomal RNA (331 nucleotides) under uncultured Anaerolineaceae bacterium. RNAcentral describes it as "bacterial SSU rRNA". It matches the Rfam family "Bacterial small subunit ribosomal RNA", at positions 1040 to 1382 of the family's 1533-position model. Lineage: Bacteria; Bacillati; Chloroflexota; Anaerolineae; Anaerolineales; Anaerolineaceae. The record is from RNAcentral.